RNAcentral lists this long non-coding RNA (1015 nucleotides) under Bos indicus x Bos taurus (hybrid cattle). RNAcentral's name for it is "lncRNA (ENSBIXG00005006713.1)". The record is from RNAcentral. Lineage: Eukaryota; Metazoa; Chordata; Mammalia; Artiodactyla; Bovidae.
CUUCCUGUUUUAUUCCUGAGCGUCACAAUAGGGAGGUAGUGGGUGUCUUCGAAAAGCCGCUGGGAGAGGGCCUCCGGAGACCCCCCCGCAUCGCCAUUCCCGCUCUGCUUCUGCGAAGCUUUGUGACCUUGGGCGAGUGGCUUGGCCUCUCUGAACCCCGGGUGCUUCCACCGAAAGUGAGGGUGACCACAGGCCGCCUCCGGGGGCGGCCCAUGAGAAAGUCGUGAGCUCACAAAGGCCUGGCGCCCGCAUCCCUGAGGCGGCUGGCCUGCCCUGGGAUGUGACGGGAAUAAGCUUUGUGAGAAAACCUCGCCCAAAUGGAGCCGUUAGGCCGGCCUCCUUUCACGAGUCACUUCCUCAGCUUCGGGAGCCCAGAGGAUAAGAGCACACCGGCCAGGAUGCAGAGCAGUCAGCUGUGAGCCCGGGGGAACUGAUGGAACCAGAUCCUGACCUAAGUCAAUUGCUAGGACUCUGUCCCUCAGGGAGUAAAGCACAGAGCAUACCCCAGAUAUCUAUCCUUGCCAUGGAAUCUCUUCCAAAUUGUGAUUGUCAAGGACAGCCCAGAAUCUUGUCUGGACGUAUCGCGAUUUGUUCAACUAAUCUCCUGUUGUCGGACAUUCAGGUUGUAUCUGCGCUCUGCUGACUGUCAAAAGGCAGUUCUGCCUGCCCUGGACUUUGCACUAGGCUGAAGGCUGACCCACCUCUUCUAAAUCCCAAGUGGUCUUCUGAGAAGGAUCAGGCAGGGACAAAGACACAUACUGCGGAGCUUCCAGUGCCUCCCCAGUCAAGUCUCAAGACAUAAGACACACCCAGACUUGAGUGUGGAUGAGAAUCACAUUCCAGAGGCAGGGAGCGUAUUGUUUGGGCGACAAGAUGUAACUCUAAAAUACAGAAGGUUUCUUUUCCGACAGUCAUACCAGAGCUCACCCAACCCAGUAACUCACUGUCCUUUCAAAGUAGUCACCCGGAAGGCAGUCCUCUCCUUGCAAUAAAACGGUGCUUGCAUGAAAAUGCA